UACGGAGGGUGCAAGCGUUAAUCGGAAUUACUGGGCGUAAAGCGUGCGCAGGCGGUUUGUUAAGUCAGAUGUGAAAGCCCCGGGCUUAACCUGGGAACUGCAUUUGAUACUGGCAAACUAGAGUGUGGUAGAGGGGAGUGGAAUUCCUCAUGUAGCGGUGAAAUGCGUAGAUAUGAGGAGGAACACCAGUGGCGAAGGCGACUCCCUGGACCAACACUGACGCUCAGGUACGAAAGCGUGGGUAGCAAACAGG
Molecule: ribosomal RNA, 253 nt
Filed under: uncultured bacterium
Lineage: Bacteria
Description: partial 16S ribosomal RNA
Rfam family: Bacterial small subunit ribosomal RNA
Source: RNAcentral